CUCCUUUGACGUUAGCGGCGGACGGGUGAGUAACACGUGGGUAACCUACCUAUAAGACUGGGAUAACUUCGGGAAACCGGAGCUAAUACCGGAUAAUAUUUCGAACCGCAUGGUUCGAUAGUGAAAGGUGGUUUUGCUAUCACUUAUAGAUGGACCCGCGCCGUAUUAGCUAGUUGGUAAGGUAACGGCUUACCAAGGCGACGAUACGUAGCCGACCUGAGAGGGUGAUCGGCCACACUGGAACUUAGACACGGUCCAGACUCCUACGGGAGGCAGCAGUC
RNAcentral lists this ribosomal RNA (281 nucleotides) under uncultured Staphylococcus sp. RNAcentral describes it as "partial 16S ribosomal RNA". It matches the Rfam family "Bacterial small subunit ribosomal RNA", at positions 81 to 355 of the family's 1533-position model. Lineage: Bacteria; Bacillati; Bacillota; Bacilli; Caryophanales; Staphylococcaceae. The record is from RNAcentral.